GUGAGGAAUAUUGGACAAUGGAUGGAAAUCUGAUCCAGCCAUGCCGCGUGCAGGAAGACGGCCCUAUGGGUUGUAAACUGCUUUUAUACGGGAGCAAUAAGGUCUAUGCAUAGAUUGAUGAGAGUACCGUAUGAAUAAGCAUCGGCUAACUCCGUGCCAGCAGCCGCGGUAAUACGGAGGAUGCGAGCGUUAUCCGGCUUUAUUGGGUUUAAAGGGUGCGUAGGCGGCUUUGUAAGUCAGCGGUGAAAUUUUGCAGCUUAACUGUAAAAGCGCCGUUGAUACUGUGGAGCUAGGAUUUGGUUGCUGUGGGCGGAAUGUGUGGUGUAGCGGUGAAAUGCAUAGAGAUCACACAGAAUAUCGAUUGCGAAGGCAGCUCACAAAGCCAAUAUUGACGCUGAGGCACGAAAGUGUGGGGAUCAAACAGGAUUAGAAACCCCAGUAGUCC
RNAcentral lists this ribosomal RNA (445 nucleotides) under uncultured bacterium. RNAcentral describes it as "partial 16S ribosomal RNA". It matches the Rfam family "Bacterial small subunit ribosomal RNA", at positions 354 to 796 of the family's 1533-position model. The record is from RNAcentral.